UCUGCCACAGAGGGAAUAUUAUUGUUAUGCUGCAGUCACAGGUCAUACGUUAACACACAUUAACAGCCUGCUCUUGUAUUUUCCUAGUUGUCUUGCUACAGCCCAACAUCUCUCUCAGUGCUCCAAAUGGAGGGAUGUUCUGGGGACUUCAGGGGCCAGAGGUGACCAGGGGCCACAGCUUCUCCAUCAUCUGCUCCAUUCAGCCACAGUAUCCUGGAAGCCUCUUCUAUCUGGACUUCUCUGGGUCCAACAGGACUGAAUGGAGACAUCCGUCAACGACUCUACCUCCUUUUACUUCCCUGUUGCAGAGUAUACAGACGAGGGCAACUACAGUUGUUUAUGAGGUUAUUGUCUCCACCCUGUCAUUCCAUUCUACCGACAGAGUUGCUGACAGUCAGCAUUCAAGCAUCCAUAGUCCCCAUUAUUGCCUCUGGCGCAAUAGCUGGGCUAUUGCUCCUGCUGCUGCUCAUUCCCAUUAAUGUUUAGUCUUGGAGGAAGAUAAGCAACAGAGAGCAGACUAUUACGAUAAACCCAAGAGAAACUGCCAUUAACAUGAACACACAUGGGAACACCGUGGGUGCAGCGAGUGAGGAAAACGAUGAAGAGGAUGAUGUCAACGCAGAAGCCUUUGUCAACAAGAGCAAAGACGAAGACUUGAAAAAAAAGGAUGCCAUGCAGGAAUGUGUGUGAAAAUAAUGAUUCAAAAUAAUGUCUGCAGUUAUGAAAGGAUAACCUGUGCCAAGAUCCUGACUCGAAGUCCAGGCACGUAAAUUCAAAAGUUUGUAUUCAUCCUUGGGAAUGCUCCAGGAGCCACGAACAAGUGUGGAAACAACCAAGGUGAAGGACCAGGUGAGGAAGAUGAGGACGUCUAUGAAAAUCCAGAUACCUUCACACGGGAUGGAUGAUGCCGAAGACAUGUACGAUGAAGACAAUGACCCUUUUGACCUGGAGCAGCUCGCUUCAUGUGAAGGCGGAGGGGAGAAUAUGACUAUGAAGAAGAUGACAACAUAUAGGCAAACUAAGAGUGAAGGCCUUGUAAUAGGCAUGUUGAUGCAGAGAUAUCGGUAACAGGAGAGGCUUGAAAGGUUAGCUUUGUGAGUUGAAUUAUCAGGGCUUAAAAAAAAUACGUUUUCAUUAAAACGUUUCAGUUGGUCGAUAAGAGUAAAGGCUUUGUUUCCAUUUCAAUAUACAUUUUUUGUGUGUCCGAUUUCUAGUUGUAUUCUUGCCAGGUAAUUAAAAUAGUUUUCUGACUUGA
Long non-coding RNA from Oncorhynchus kisutch (coho salmon), 1255 nucleotides. RefSeq lists it as uncharacterized. The record is from RefSeq and is a predicted model, not a curated record. Lineage: Eukaryota; Metazoa; Chordata; Actinopteri; Salmoniformes; Salmonidae. The transcript has 3 exons.